GCGAAUAGGUAGCUAAGACAUGUUUUUCCUGAAAUCUUGUCAAUGUCCCCUCACAAUGUCCUUCAAUGUCCCUCACACCAAACCUCAAGGAAAUAGCAACGUGUUUUAACGACCAUCCUCUUUGCCACCACUACCAAAUGAUGGCCCGUCAUUGAACUUCUUCUAAAUUGAUAUGUCUCUAAGUCAUCAGAA
This is a long non-coding RNA of Esox lucius (northern pike), 192 nucleotides long. RefSeq lists it as uncharacterized. Lineage: Eukaryota; Metazoa; Chordata; Actinopteri; Esociformes; Esocidae. The record is from RefSeq and is a predicted model, not a curated record. The transcript has 3 exons.